UAUCUCUGUAGAGUCUGCAUAUCAAUAAGCGGAGGAAAAGAAACUAACUAGGAUUCCCCUAGUAACGGCGAGUGAAGCGGGAAGAGCUCAAAUUUGAAAUCUUAAAGGUUUCCCUUGACGAAUUGUAGUUUAAAGAAGUGUUUUCUGUUGGAGGUUUUGGUAAAAGUUCUUUGGAAUAGGACAUCAUAGAGGGUGAGAAUCCCGUAUUUGACCUUUACUUUCAACUUUGUGAUACACUUUCAAAGAGUCGGAUUGUUUGGGAAUGCAGUCCAAAAUGGGUGGUAAAUUUCAUCUAAAGCUAAAUAUUGGCGAGAGACCGAUAGCGAACAAGUACCGUGAGGGAAAGAUGAAAAGAACUUUGAAGAGAGAGUUAAACAGUACGUGAAAUUGUCAAAAGGGAAGCGUUUGACACCAGUGUUGUUUUUCUGAAAAUCAAUUAAAGAACUGUUUAUGCUAAGCUGUUUAGACUUUAUCAGCUAUCUGUUUAGUUUUGAGCUUUUCUUUAAUGCACUUUUCAGUUAACAAGUCAACAUCAAUUUCUUUUGCUGUAAAAAAGCUUGAGGAAGGUGGCUUGAGAUUCGUCUUAAGUGUUUAUAGCCUCUUGCCUAUGCAGUCGGAGAGAUUGAGGUCUGCAGCGUAGAUCCUUCGGGGCUAAAUGCAUUUGUGCUAAGUUAUAGCAUUUUAUAGACAACUUGUUGACUAUGAUUUGUCUUGUAGCUUACUCGCUUAUGUUAUUUUACCUACGCUUAGGAUGUUGACGAUCAGCUGAGCGCG
Molecule: ribosomal RNA, 774 nt
Filed under: uncultured Neocallimastigales
Lineage: Eukaryota; Fungi; Neocallimastigomycota; Neocallimastigomycetes; Neocallimastigales
Description: partial large subunit ribosomal RNA
Rfam family: Eukaryotic large subunit ribosomal RNA
Source: RNAcentral